CACUGAGGUGCGAAAGCGUGGGUAGCAAACAGGAUUAGAUACCCUGGUAGUCCACGCCGUAAACGAUGUCGACCAGCCGUUGGGUGCCUAGCGCACUUUGUGGCGAAGUUAACGCGAUAAGUCGACCGCCUGGGGAGUACGGCCGCAAGGUUAAAACUCAAAUGAAUUGACGGGGGCCCGCACAAGCGGUGGAGCAUGUGGUUUAAUUCGAUGCAACGCGAAGAACCUUACCUACCCUUGACAUCCUGCGAAUUCGUGAGAGAUCACUUAGUGCCUUCGGGAACGCAGAGACAGGUGCUGCAUGGCUGUCGUCAGCUCGUGUUGUGAAAUGUUGGGUUAAGUCCCGUAACGAGCGCAACCCUUGUCCUUAUUUGCCAGCACGUAAUGGUGGGAACUCUAAGGAGACUGCCGGUGACAAACCGGAGGAAGGUGGGGACGACGUCAAGUCAUCAUGGCCCUUACGGGUAGGGCUACACACGUGCUACAAUGGCCGGUACAAAGGGUUGCCAACUCGCGAGAGUGAGCUAAUCCCGAAAAGCCGGUCUCAGUCCGGAUCGGAGUCUGCAACUCGACUCCGUGAAGUCGGAAUCGCUAGUAAUCGUGGAUCAGAAUGCCACGGUGAAUACGUUCCCGGGCCUUGUACACACCGCCCGUCACACCAUGGGAGUGGACUGCACCAGAAGU
Molecule: ribosomal RNA, 684 nt
Filed under: Halomonas sp.
Lineage: Bacteria; Pseudomonadati; Pseudomonadota; Gammaproteobacteria; Oceanospirillales; Halomonadaceae
Description: bacterial SSU rRNA
Rfam family: Bacterial small subunit ribosomal RNA
Source: RNAcentral